This 71-nucleotide transfer RNA is filed under the name Stegodyphus mimosarum. It matches the Rfam family "tRNA". Rfam says of the family: Transfer RNA (tRNA) molecules are approximately 80 nucleotides in length. Their secondary structure includes four short double-helical elements and three loops (D, anti-codon, and T loops). Further hydrogen bonds mediate the characteristic L-shaped molecular structure. tRNAs have two regions of fundamental functional importance: the anti-codon, which is responsible for specific mRNA codon recognition, and the 3' end, to which the tRNAs corresponding amino acid is attached (by aminoacyl-tRNA synthetases). tRNAs cope with the degeneracy of the genetic code in two manners: having more than one tRNA (with a specific anti-codon) for a particular amino acid; and 'wobble' base-pairing, i.e. permitting non-standard base-pairing at the 3rd anti-codon position. The record is from Rfam by way of RNAcentral. Lineage: Eukaryota; Metazoa; Arthropoda; Arachnida; Araneae; Eresidae.
GCCUUCGUGGUGUAACUGUAGCACAAUUGUUGAGUAUUCGAGAGGUCCAGGUUCGAGUCCCGGCGAAGGCA